This 1635-nucleotide long non-coding RNA is filed under the name Panax ginseng (ginseng). RNAcentral describes it as "long non-coding RNA (PGIN_LNC005986)". Lineage: Eukaryota; Viridiplantae; Streptophyta; Magnoliopsida; Apiales; Araliaceae. The record is from RNAcentral.
UUGCCUACCGUAGAAGUAAGAUAUCACAAUUUAAGUAUAGAAGCAGCGGAUGAAGUGGUUCAUUUGAACCACCUGCCUACUCUAUGGAACACUUCCCUCAAAAGAGUUUUCUCUGCAAGUUCCAUUCCUUUCCUGCAACUCAACUAUUUUGUAUCUUAAAAUUUGGACCAAAAGCUGCUCUCUCUCUCUCUUUAUUAUUAUUAGUAUUAUUUUAAAAUUUUAUUUAUUUAUUGUUAUUACUACAAAAUCUGUCACCUAAACAUUUUCUUGGCUGUGGGAAGAUAACUCAUUACGGAUCGCUUUCCAUAAUUAUUAACAGAAUAAAGAUACCAACAUAUUAGGUGUUAUCAACAAUGAAAACUGUAAUAUAGAAAGAAUAUCAAACCUCUCUCUGAGUUAUCAGCUGUCUAGCAUUAUACUGGGCAACCACAGCCUUCAAAGUAUCAUGAAUAAUGGGUGGCAAGACUCUUUCAUUAUAGUUCUCCCCAAGAGUUCGAUAGAUUGUAGGUAAUUGGCAUGCCACAGGACGAGUAAGAACUCGAAGACCAAUUUUGACCUGCAAAACAAAGAAGAAGCCACAUUUACACCCUGUUUGUGAGUUUUUAAAACUAAGGAAAGGGUUGGAAAGCUAAGGAAAAUGGGGCUCAAUUUUCCUUGGAUUCUUUCCUGACCAAAAUGGUAGGAAAGCUAAGGAAAGGAAAUUGGGUUUAAUAAAUUUAUUCUAAUUCCGUAAUUGCCCUUACUUAGCAACUCACAAGCAUUAGCAUGUUAUAUCUAAUAUGCAAGGGUACAAUGGUAAUAAUAUAUCACAAAAUAAAUUUCCAAUUAUUAUAUUUUCCAUACUAAACUCACAAACAUAACUAAGAAAAGUUACUUUCCUAUCAUUUCUUGAGUUAAAAAUUCCUAGUCUGGAAAUCCUAGUCUAGAAAACUCACAAAAUAAUGGUACUAACAGCUAAAAACUAUUUCGGUACAAUUAAAAUCAUAAGAUCCACAUGCAGAAACCGUAAGACUGACAAAAAUACAGUUCACCUACUGUAUAUGUCUAUCUAAAUUAUAUACAGAAGAAAAAAGAAUCCAUUUAAACAAUAAGCACAUCUAAAGUAUCUUGUGUUAUAAGUUAAAUUCAGCAAUAAAAAAUGUAUCACCAGAGUAGUGCAGACUAAAAAAGAUAUGGACCAAAGAAAGGAAUAAAAAAACAAUAGAAGUAUAAAACCAACUUCUUGAAAGUGGAGCACUAAUAGUUAAAUUAAGAGGUUAUUGUAUUGUUUGUAGGAGCACUAAUAUAUUAAAAAUAUUAAUUCCGUCUGUUUCAAAUUAAAAGAGCUAUAUAGGUUUGUAGGCUGUUUUCUGUUUGUAUCUUAAAAUUUGGAGCAAAAGCUGAAUCUCUCUCUCUCUUUUUUAUUAUUAUUAUUUUAAAAUUGUAUUUGUUGUUAUUACUACAAAAUCUGUCACCUAAACAUUUUCUUGGCUGUGGGAAGAUAACUCAUUAUGGAUUGCAUUACAGAAUGGAUAAAAACUGAAAUGUCAAACAUUAAUUGUUGAACAGGGUAUCACUAGUAUUAGUGGGAUAAGAUCUCAUCCAACCAAGAUCAAAAUUCUUGAUGAUUUUUGUGGAAUCAUCAAGCCUUCAAGG